This 468-nucleotide ribosomal RNA is filed under the name uncultured bacterium. RNAcentral's name for it is "partial 16S ribosomal RNA". It matches the Rfam family "Bacterial small subunit ribosomal RNA", at positions 28 to 507 of the family's 1533-position model. The record is from RNAcentral.
GACGAACGCUGGCGGCGUGCUUAACACAUGCAAGUCGAACGGAAAGGCCCUGCUUUUGUGGGGUGCUCGAGUGGCGAACGGGUGAGUAACACGUGAGUAACCUGCCCUUGACUUUGGGAUAACUUCAGGAAACUGGGGCUAAUACCGGAUAGGAGCUCCUGCUGCAUGGUGGGGGUUGGAAAGUUUCGGCGGUUGGGGAUGGACUCGCGGCUUAUCAGCUUGUUGGUGGGGUAGUGGCUUACCAAGGCUUUGACGGGUAGCCGGCCUGGGAGGGUGACCGGCCACAUUGGGACUGAGAUACGGCCCAGACGCCUACGGGAGGCAGCAGUGGGGAAUAUUGCACAAUGGGCGGAAGCCGGAGGCAGCAACGCCGCGGGCGGGAUGACGGCCUUCGGGUUGUAAACCGCUUUCGCCUGUGACGAAGCGUGAGUGACGGUAAUGGGUAAAGAAGCACCGGCUAACUACGUG